AUUGAACGCUGGCGGCAUGCCUUACACAUGCAAGUCGAACGGCAGCAUGAUCUCGCUUGCUAGAUUGAUGGCGAGUGGCGAACGGGUGAGUAAUACAUCGGAACGUGCCCUGUAGUGGGGGAUAACUAGUCGAAAGAUUAGCUAAUACCGCAUACGACCUGAGGGUGAAAGUGGGGGACCGCAAGGCCUCAUGCUAUAGGAGCGGCCGAUGUCUGAUUAGCUAGUUGGUGAGGUAAAGGCUCACCAAGGCGACGAUCAGUAGCUGGUCUGAGAGGACGAUCAGCCACACUGGGACUGAGACACGGCCCAGACUCCUACGGGAGGCAGCAGUGGGGAAUUUUGGACAAUGGGCGAAAGCCUGAUCCAGCAAUGCCGCGUGUGUGAAGAAGGCCUUCGGGUUGUAAAGCACUUUUGUCCGGAAAGAAAUGGCUCUGGUUAAUACCUGGGGUCGAUGACGGUACCGGAAGAAUAAGGACCGGCUAACUACGUG
RNAcentral lists this ribosomal RNA (490 nucleotides) under uncultured bacterium. RNAcentral's name for it is "partial 16S ribosomal RNA". It matches the Rfam family "Bacterial small subunit ribosomal RNA", at positions 30 to 507 of the family's 1533-position model. The record is from RNAcentral.